AGACUUCUCAUUUGGUAGCAUGCGUACUGUGUAUUUGAUAUGUAUUUCAUUUGAUACGUAGCAAGCCGGCUCAUUUUGACCCCUCAACCUUCAGAGAUAAGGUCUUCCUGUGAGAGUCGACCAUCUCCUCGUUCGUCCAGAUCCACUCCAUGGCGAUAUGUGCUACAAGCAUACAAAUAUGAGAAAGAUGCUUCAUAAAUUGUAUUGUCACAUCAAUUCCUAAGAGCAGUCCAAUGAACUGUAGUGGGUGCAUGGAGGAAUUGGCAAACUUUAUUGACAGCAAAUGAGAUAUCAGGUCUUGUAAGUGUUAAAUAUUGAAGUGCACCUACUAGACUUCUGUAUUUUGUGCUGUCAUCUUGGCUCAAGGGCUGCCCUUUUGUAAGAGAUAGCUUUUCAGAACUAGACAAUGGAGUGGGUGAGGGUUUACAACCUUGUAAGCCAGCUUUCUUCACCAAGUUUGUUGCAUACUUUUCUUGGGAGAGAUGAAUACCAUUCUCAUGCUUCUUUACUUCUAUUCCCAGAAAAUAAUGCAACUCUCCAAGAUCCUUGAGAGCAAACUCUGCACUAAGAUCUUUCAAAAGUCCUAUGACAGUCUCAUCAGAUGAACUUGUAACAAUAAUAUCAUCAACAUAUAUGAGAACAAAUAUGUGUGUGUUGCAUUUAUUGUAGAUGAACAAUGAGGUGUCAGACUUAGAAGGGACAAAACCAAGUGUUUGCAUUUUUUGACUGAAUCGGGAAUACCACGCCCUAGGAGCUUGCUUCAACCCAUAUAGUGCCUUAUCAAGUUUGCACACGUGAGAAGGUGCAUUCUUGUUUUCAAACCCAGGAGGUUGUUUCAUGUACACUUCCUCUUCCAGAACACUAUGAAGAAACGCGUUCUGUACAUCAAGUUGUCUGAGACUCCAGCCUCUAGAAACUGCAAUAGACAACACAAGACGAAUGGUGGCAGCUUUUACAACAGGACUAAAGGUGUCCUCGUAGUCUAUGCCAUACCGUUGUUUAAAGCCCUUUGCCACAAGUCUUGCUUUGUAGCGAUCUAUGGUUCUAUCAGAUUUUCUCUUGAUCCUAAAAACUCACUUACAAUCAAUAAGAUUUUUACCUUUCUGUGGGGAACCAAGUGCCAGGUUUUAUUUUUUUCAGAGCCAUGUAUUCUUCAUUCAUGGCUUUUCUCCAAUGUUCAUCACCAAGUGCUUCUUCAAGUGUAUAAGGUUCACCUGGUUCACCUGUUGAACAAAUGAUACCGUAUUUUGUUACAUGUUUGUAAUCAACAGGUUGAAUUACCCCUUUUUGCAGCCAUGUACGCCGUGGUGACUGCAAAGAGGAUCCCGUGCUGCGUACAGGAGUUUCUGCAUGCACCGAUCUCAAGGAGGAUUCGGGGACAGCAGCGGUGUCCAGCGGCGACAGAUCUUCUGUGGCAGGGGACGAAGCAGCGACGCGCACGGGCGAAGCAGCAGUCGUCACAGAAGAUCUGGGCUCAUCAUUGCCCGUGGCCCUCCUGGCGCCAGCAGCGGAGUCCACGCCAGCAGUGGUUGGGCCCGCGCCGGUCGGGCGAUGCAGGUCGCGCCGCUUGUAGCAGACCGGUUGGACCGGAAAGCGAGCGCGCGUCGAGCCAGUCGGAGGUGGCCACGCGGUCGAGCGGGGUUGGUGCUGGGCGAGGGGCGCGGUGUCAGGCACAGGAGCGGCCCGGUCGGGCACAGCCGAGAUGCGGGUGGGAGCUGACCCCGAGGCAGAUCCGCGCAGCCUGUCGACGAAUGCAGAUCCCGGGGCGGAUUCUGUCGGCCCUGCACACACCGAUCCCGAGGGGGAUUUGUUCCCCGAGCUGGGGCACAUGAAAUAUGGUGUUGUAGCACCAUUUUCUUCAGGAUUUUCACCGAUUUCUUCAGAGUUUCCGUUCCCAGAUGCAUCUGCACUAUCUCCUGUAUCAUCACACAACUCAUGCAACGUGGUGAGUGUUGGGGAACGUAGUAAUUUCAAAAAAAAAUCCUACGCACACGCAAGAUCAUGGUGAUGCAUAGCAACGAGAGGGGAGAGUGUUGUCCAUGUACCCUCAUAG
Molecule: ribosomal RNA, 2053 nt
Filed under: Triticum aestivum (bread wheat)
Lineage: Eukaryota; Viridiplantae; Streptophyta; Magnoliopsida; Poales; Poaceae
Description: partial small subunit ribosomal RNA
Source: RNAcentral